AUCAAAAAGAAAAAUAAAAAUUUUUCCAAAUUUGAGAGUUGAAUGAACAGACCUUCAAGGCACUUGGGAAAAUUAGGGUUCAUUCUAAAGUUGUGCUUUCAGUUGCGGGAGGUGAGCAUAGGCCAUCUCUGACACUCGUUUCUGGAAGUGGAUUCUUUUAGCAAGGUUUGGACAAAAGAGAGACUCAUUGAUUAAGGCAACCUCACCUGACAGCAGCAACAAAAUCUACCAAAUACCGGAGUCAAGCGAUUCCAAAGAGUAGAACUCGGAGAGAAAGAGCAGAAGAAAAAUGGAACCUGAACUUUGCUCCAUUGUCGCCUCUCCUCUCCUUUCCUCGCUCCUCUCUCUCUCUCUCUCUCUCUCUCUCUCAAGGUUGAAAAUCCUUAACCCUGGCUGCCAGUGUUGGCUCUCUGUCUCCCCCUAAUGUCCCCCGUCUCUCCUCCUAUGUGUCGUUGUUGUUCUGAAUCGGUGGAUUCUGGCUCCUAUUCGUCCUUCUUGUAUGCUCUAAACUAGAGUAGCCACAUCGCAUUUUUGGUGUCUGCUUCUAAAAGUGGAGAAUCUUUGACGAGGGUUGUAUAGUCUGAAUCAAUUGUAGCCUUUGGAAGAAGCCCGACAUAGCAAGUAGGGAAGGGAUUUACGCAGGUGACGGCAUUGCAUUUUGGGAUUGACAUCGAAGUCGGUCAUCGGUGGAUUGGAAGCCUCGCAUAUCGGGUACAUAUAUGUCUUGGCUCAAAGUUGCAUUCAAGUAUUGGUGACGAAGAUUAUUCAAACGUGUCGAAGGAACCGCAGAAUGAAAAAGGUGAUUGUGGCCCAGCCGACAGUGAAUACCGAGGCUAGGAUGGUGGUGGAAGCGAUAUAGAUGCCUCAACAGAGGAUCAUGGAAACUCGAAGCAUAUCAUGGGUGAACAAUUCAGCAGUCUAAUGCUUCUGUGUUGUUAUCUGCAGAGUUUAAUGAGGUUGAAGAUGCGUAUGCAAGCUAUGUGGCGUAUGCAAAGAGUAUUGGUUUUGCGGUGAAAAAUGGAGAUUCUAUUAAAGACCAUCAGGAGAAUAUUGUGAGGAAGUUUUUCUACUACAAUUGGCAACAGUUGUGUGAAAAGAAGCAUUAUGAGAGAGUUGACAGAAAAAGACCCCAAAAAUCAAAGAUGAGAACAAAUUGCAAUGUCAAGUUUUUUGUUUCUGGACAAAAUUUAUGGGAAGUGGUGGACGAAGACAUUGGUUGAGGAUUAUAAUCAUGACUUGGCAUCCUUGGAGUUCACUAAUGUAAUAGCACCACAUAGGAAUAUCACAGAAGAGCACAAAGCGCAUAUACAUAGCAUGCAUGAAGUCGGGUUCUAGAAAACUCAAAUUAUGGGCUUCUUUGCCCAUAUGUGUGGUGGAUAUCGCAAUCUUAACUUCAAAAGUAAGAACUUGUAUAAUUAUAUGCAUGGAGUUAGGCCACAACCAUGUUCGACUCAAAUCAUGAUGAAUUAAUACCUUCGGAUUAGGCCACGACCGAAGAAAAUUGCACUACCAUGAACGAUGAUGUCGAUAAUGAAGUUUGUAUGUGUUGGUUAAUUCCUAGGAUUAUUGUGUGUCGUAUUCGUUGCAUGUGCUAAUGCUUCAUGUUCGUACUUGUUACUUAUUUGAUGAUAUCUGUAGUGCAUUAAUGUUCUAAACUUUAGUACUUGAUUUGAUUGACGAACCAAAUAUCAUUUUGCAGGAUGGUGGACCUAGCUAAAGGCGAGUUCAUUCUUUCGGAAAUAGGUCACGACUAAAUUAGUUGGAUGGACGUGACUGCUUGUGAAUAAAGUGUUCAACUAAUUAGGAUAAAGUCACAUGUUUUUAGUUUGCUUAUCCACUUUUACGAUUCUAGUUGUGUUGGCAUAUUAGACCUUAUUAUGAUAGGUUAAUAUGCUAUGAAAAAGGUUCUUAUGUAGUGUUU
Long non-coding RNA from Arachis duranensis, 1921 nucleotides. RefSeq lists it as uncharacterized. The record is from RefSeq and is a predicted model, not a curated record. The transcript has 4 exons. Lineage: Eukaryota; Viridiplantae; Streptophyta; Magnoliopsida; Fabales; Fabaceae.